UACGUAGGGGGCAAGCGUUGUCCGGAAUCAUUGGGCGUAAAGAGCGUGUAGGCGGCCCGAUAAGUCCGCUGUGAAAGUCCAGGGCUCAACCCUGGAAUGCCGGUGGAUACUGUCGGGCUCGAAUCCGGAAGAGGUGAGUGGAAUUCCUGGUGUAGCGGUGAAAUGCGCAGGUAUCAGGAGGAACACCAAUGGCGAAGGCAGCUCACUGGGACGGUAUUGACGCUGAGACGCGAAAGCGUGGGGAGCAAACAGG
This 253-nucleotide ribosomal RNA is filed under the name uncultured bacterium. RNAcentral describes it as "partial 16S ribosomal RNA". It matches the Rfam family "Bacterial small subunit ribosomal RNA", at positions 524 to 776 of the family's 1533-position model. The record is from RNAcentral.